This 236-nucleotide long non-coding RNA is filed under the name Nicotiana benthamiana. RNAcentral's name for it is "long non-coding RNA (NBEN_LNC027763)". Lineage: Eukaryota; Viridiplantae; Streptophyta; Magnoliopsida; Solanales; Solanaceae. The record is from RNAcentral.
AUUUGCUCUUUCUUGCACGUAAUUGUUUGACUUCACGCAUUCCGAAGAAUAGUGGCCAAAUUUAUGACAAUUAUAGCAUUUAGUUUGAGAGUUGUCAUACCUUGGCCUUCUACUUGUGUAACCUUUCCCGCGACCUCUUGUCGAGUGAAAAUCUUGGCUUCUUUCUUCAUUUUUGUAAGAACUAUAGCCUCCACGUUUGAUAUAUCCUCGCCCUCGCCCUCGGCCACGUACUUGAC